UAAUACGUAGGUGGCAAGCGUUGUCCGGAUUCACUGGGUGUAAAGGGUGCGCAGGCGGAUUUGUAAGUCAGAGGUGAAAUCUCACGGCUUAACCGUGAAACUGCCUUUGAUACUGCGGAUCUUGAGUUAGAGAGAGGUUGAUGGAAUUCCAGGUGUAGCGGUGAAAUGCGUAGAUAUCUGGAAGAACACCAGUGGCGAAGGCGGUCAACUGGCUCUUAACUGACGCUCAUGCACGAAAGCGUGGGUAGCGAACAGGAUUAGAUACCCUGGUAGUCCACGCCCUAAACGAUGAAUGCUUGGUGUUGGUCCGUCAGGAUCAGUGCCGUAGGUAACCUGGUAAGCAUUCCACCUGGGGAGUACGCUCGCAAGGGUG
This 373-nucleotide ribosomal RNA is filed under the name uncultured bacterium. RNAcentral describes it as "bacterial SSU rRNA". It matches the Rfam family "Bacterial small subunit ribosomal RNA", at positions 521 to 896 of the family's 1533-position model. The record is from RNAcentral.